This 460-nucleotide ribosomal RNA is filed under the name uncultured bacterium. Its description in RNAcentral is "partial 16S ribosomal RNA". It matches the Rfam family "Bacterial small subunit ribosomal RNA", at positions 338 to 795 of the family's 1533-position model. The record is from RNAcentral.
CCUACGGGAGGCAGCAGUGAGGAAUAUUGGUCAAUGGCCGGAAGGCUGAACCAGCCAAGUCGCGUGAGGGACGACUGCCCUAUGGGUUGUAAACCUCUUCUAUAAGGGAAGAAGAAAUGCUAAGUGUAGCAUGAGGCCUGUACCUUAUGAAUAAGCAUCGGCUAACCCCGCGCCAGGAGCCGCGGUAAUACGGAGGAUCCGAUGGUGAAGCGGAUGUGUUGGGUUUAAAGGAUGCGGAGGCGGUCAGGUAAGUUAGAGGUGAAAGCUCCAUGCUCAACCUCGAAACUGCCUCUGAUACUGUCUGACUAGAGUGUAGUUGCGGAAGGCGGAAUGUUUGGUGUAGCGGUGAAAUGCUUAGAUAUCACACAGAACACCGAUUGCGAAGGCAGCUUUCCGAGCUAUUACUGACGCUGAGGCACGAAAGCGUGGGGAGCGAACAGGAUUAGAUACCCUGGUAGUC